CUGGAUACUGAGCCUGGUUUUGACCAACGGCAAAUUUUCGGAACUCCUGACAAUGCAGCAGGAAUCACAAGCCUUUUGCAUCAAAUCCUGUGAUUCAGGUCUUAAAACCUGAACUUGACUGCCUCCCCAUGGGAGUCACAAGUUCAGAACUACUGGCUUUUGUAAAAUUAGAUCAAUGAAAACCUUGAUACAAUCCUUGUCCACAUCUUCAAAACCAGAAGACUUCAUAUUCCAGUUUGCCCAGAAUAGUCCAGGUUUAUGUCUAUUGUCCAAGUUUGCUUAAUAAGAAAGUCCCUUUACUCUCAAAAUUAUCUCAGCAUGGAUAAUACAUUAUAUGGUCAUGCUAUGCAGAAAGAGACAAUGUGAGACAUGGCAUAUGUAGUAGUACAGAGCUGAACAAGCUCACAGGGUAAGGUUUACAGGGUUAUUAGCAGAGAGCCAGAGGGCAAAGACUCCAGGAAAAAGCAGCCAUCACUUGUUAUAUGUUAUUGCUAUCUUAAAGAACCAUCUGGUCAGGUGAGGUGGCUAAAGCCUGUAAUCACAGCACUUUGGGAGGCUAAGGCAGGCAGAUCACUUGAGGCCAGAGUUCAAGAUCAGCCUGAUCAACAUGACAAAACCCCAUCUCUUUGCCUGCUGCCAUCCAUGUAAGAUGUGACUUGCUCUUUCUUGCCUUCCACCAUGAUUAUGAGGCUUCUGCAGCCAUGUGGAACUGUGUUCCAACAGCCCCAGCUGAGAUCUCAGAUAACAGUCAGUGUCAAUUGUUAAGCAGUCAGCAUUAUAAGACAGUUAUCUCUCAUUUGGGAUGCUCACUCUUGGAACCCAGCCACCAUGUUGUGAGAAAGCUCAGGCCACAUGCAGAGGCCACAUAAAAUGAAGCCUGUGAAAAUUGAAUAAAGGAGGUGAAUCACAAUCUGGAGCUGACUUAAGAGAAUGAAUUCAAUGACAGCUACCUCAUAGGUCUGUUCUAAAAAAAAUUGUAAAAUUGUGUAAGUUAACACAGUGUCUGUAAAACCAUAAACACUCAACAGAUUUUAGUGCUCUUUA
Pan troglodytes (chimpanzee) is the source of this 1044-nucleotide long non-coding RNA. RefSeq lists it as uncharacterized. The transcript has 5 exons. The record is from RefSeq and is a predicted model, not a curated record. NCBI's taxonomy places the organism in Eukaryota, Metazoa, Chordata, Mammalia, Primates, Hominidae.